GGGGCUAUGGCGCAGUUGGUAGCGCGCCUCCAUGGCAUGGAGGAGGUGGGGUUCGAAUCCCCAUAGCUCCA
This 71-nucleotide transfer RNA is filed under the name uncultured Spirillospora sp. It matches the Rfam family "tRNA". From Rfam's summary of the family: Transfer RNA (tRNA) molecules are approximately 80 nucleotides in length. Their secondary structure includes four short double-helical elements and three loops (D, anti-codon, and T loops). Further hydrogen bonds mediate the characteristic L-shaped molecular structure. tRNAs have two regions of fundamental functional importance: the anti-codon, which is responsible for specific mRNA codon recognition, and the 3' end, to which the tRNAs corresponding amino acid is attached (by aminoacyl-tRNA synthetases). tRNAs cope with the degeneracy of the genetic code in two manners: having more than one tRNA (with a specific anti-codon) for a particular amino acid; and 'wobble' base-pairing, i.e. permitting non-standard base-pairing at the 3rd anti-codon position. Lineage: Bacteria; Bacillati; Actinomycetota; Actinomycetes; Streptosporangiales; Thermomonosporaceae. The record is from RNAcentral.